GAGGAGGGAGGUUAACAGGAGCUUGUUUGCAGCUGGAAACAGUAAUCAUAGUUUUACAGUAAUCAUAGUUUUAUUUCUGUUGGCAUAAAAUGUAUGUGUAUAUAUAUGCAUAUAUAUAUGUGUGUGUGUGAUAUUUAUUUUUUAUUUUUUAAAUUUCAGGAUACCAUCUGUGCCUGGUAGAAACCUCUUCUAUGGAAUAAAGCUGUAAAUGGCCUCCAAGGGCAGGCAUUUAUGACCACACUGCAUCCAUCAGAAGAUGGAAGAAUAUGGGAAGUGUGGUAAGAAGAACUGCAGAGCCAGCCGAGUCAAUUGGCAUGCGUGUCAGUCACGUCAGAAGCUUUAAACCAACGAUGCCUCUCUUUAUCAAGCCCUCUUAUGAAGCAAGGACAGGAAACUACCAGAAUCCUCAAAAGCAAAUGACACAGAAAAGGAGUUUUCUCCAUAGUGCCAAUUACAACAAGAAGACGGUUUGAACUCCCGAAUUCACUGAAUGCCUCCAGAAAACCACCAGUAACUGGGUAACACACUAGGAUGCAACGAGAACACCCCAGCAUCUGGAAUGGAAAGCUUCAAUACCUGCAAGCGUAAUGAUACCCAGACAGCACAUCUGAGAGAGCAACCACUGUUCAUACUGUCUGCCUGCUGGCUGGAUAACAGCUUCAGAGGAAGUUGCACAUGAUUCUGCAAGAGAUGGUUGUAGAGAAAGUUGCCCAGAAGGAAAUUACUU
Gallus gallus (chicken) is the source of this 727-nucleotide long non-coding RNA. The record is from Ensembl. NCBI's taxonomy places the organism in Eukaryota, Metazoa, Chordata, Aves, Galliformes, Phasianidae.